Molecule: long non-coding RNA, 767 nt
Organism: Rhipicephalus microplus (southern cattle tick)
Lineage: Eukaryota; Metazoa; Arthropoda; Arachnida; Ixodida; Ixodidae
Source: RefSeq, a predicted model, not a curated record
CAGAAGUGCCCUGACGAACUGUGCAGUGCUGACCACAAGGCGAGCCAACCAUCCCUUAAGAGUUGCUUAUUCAGCAUCCUUGGCUAACUCAAAGGAAGCACCUCCCAAAAGCAGUGCUACAAGGAUGUGAGCCACAAGUACUUUUCAACGAUUAGAUAAGAUGCCUGAGAGCCACGGGCCGGCUGCUUCUGGCAUACACAGACAGUGCAGUCACUACAGUAAAGUUUUUGCAAAGGUGUGAGACAUUCUUAUGUUGCAUAGAGUAGGCAUAUUAAUUGUCAGUUUUAUAGCUUAUAAGGAUAUGUCUGCAAAAGUGAUUCCCCGCACAGUGUGUUUUACAUUCUCUCAAAGUGUCAUUAGGCAGAUUUAGCUCUGUCUUUCUUUUUUGUCACCUUCCAGACCAUCUCGCUAAUUCAUGCAGAGUGCUGCAGCAAUCGCAUUGUACAUUCUACAAAACCUGGCCCAAAGGCAGGCGGAAGGCAGUACAGAUGGACAUACAGAAGCCAUCGGGCUGCCUCAGAAACUGUGACUGAGCAUUAACGCGUAAUUAUUUGCGAGUUGAUGGUCUUGUCAUGCUAGUCUGUAAAGUGGUUUCUUGACCAUUAGCAAUAUUUUCCGAAACUGGUGCUUUGAUGCCGCAAUGUGGGAAGAAGUUAUUCUACCACUAUUUUGGGGGAAAACUAUCUAAUACAGCAGAGGCUUUUGAAACCAUCUGCUCAAUAAUUGAGUUAUGGAAGAAAAAUAAAUGACCCAUGAUUGUUGCUUCA